UACGUAGGGGGCAAGCGUUGUCCGGAAUUAUUGGGCGUAAAGGGCGCGUAGGCGGCUAGAUGUGUCAAAGGUGAAAUCCCUCGGCUCAACUGAGGAACUGCCUUUGAAACUGUCUGGCUUGAGGCCGGGAGAGGGUAGCGGAAUUCCCAGUGUAGCGGUGAAAUGCGUAGAUAUUGGGAGGAACACCAGUGGCGAAGGCGGCUACCUGGACCGGUUCUGACGCUGAGGCGCGAAAGCGUGGGUAGCAAACAGG
Molecule: ribosomal RNA, 253 nt
Filed under: uncultured bacterium
Lineage: Bacteria
Description: partial 16S ribosomal RNA
Rfam family: Bacterial small subunit ribosomal RNA
Source: RNAcentral